CAACUGGUGAACCCACUACAACCAUCAUUGAUGCAUCAAAAACAACUGGUGAACCCACAACAACAGUCACUGAGUCAACAAAAACAACUGGUGAACUCAAAACAACAGUCACUGGUGUGUCGACAACAACGGUUACAGCUGCACCCACUACAACUGUCACUGUAGAAUCAACAUCAACUGUUGGUCUUACUUCAUCCAUCAUUGGUGUGUCAACAACAAGUGAUGCAUCAACAACUACUGUUACGGCAACAACAACUAAAACUGUCACGGAUGUGUUGACAACAACUGGUGAACCCACUGCAAAUGUUACUAGUGUAUCGACUACAACUGGUGAACCCACUACAACCAUCAAUGUUUCAUCAAUAACAACUGGUGACCCCACGACAACAGUCACUGCUGUGUCAACAACAACUGGUGAACCCACUACAACUAUCAUUGAGUCUUCAUCAACAACUGGUGAACCCACUACAACCAUCACUGGUGUGUCAACAACAACUGGUGAACUCACUACGACAGUCACUGGUGUGUCGACAACAAUUACAACCAUCACUGAGUCAACUAAAACAACUGGUGAACCAACUAAAUCAAUCAUUAUUUCAUCAACAACAACCAGUGAACCCACUACAACUGUUACUGGUGCAUCGACCACUACUGGUGAACCCACUAAAACCAUAACUGAGUCAACAAAAACAACUGUUCAACCCACAUCAAUAGUCAAAGCUCUGUCGACAACAACUGGUGAACCCACUACGACAAUCACUGGUGUUUCAACAACAACUGGUGAACCCACUACAACUAUCACUGGUUCAUCGACAACAACUGGUGAACCCACUACAACUAUCACUGGUUCAUCGACAACAACUGGUGAACCCACUACGACCGUAACUGGUGUGUCAACAACAACGGUUACAGCUGUUCCCAUUACAACCGUAACUGGUGCAUUGACAACAACGAUUACAGCUGCAACCACUACAACUGUAAGUGUUGCAUUGACAAAAACUGAAGAUCUUACUUCAACCGUCCCUGGUGUGUCGACAACAACUUUUGAACCCACUUCAGUCAUCACUGGUGUGUCGACAACAACUUUUGGACCCUCUUCAGUCAUCACUGGUGUGUCGACAACAACUUUUGAACCCUCUUCAGUCAUCACUGGUGUGUCGACAACGACUGCAACAGCUUUACCCACUACAACCAUCACUAGUGCAUCAAAUGCCACCACAACUACAACGGCUACUCCUGUCAUCACUACUGCUAUCAUCACAGCCACGACAACUGCAACUACCGCUGUUGCAAACUCUAGGGUUCCUGUGGUGUUCAGGUCCAGCGGAGAGACAUUUACCUCUGACCUAUCAAAUCCAUCUUCUCAGGCCUUUCAAACCCGAGCAUUACUGAUUAAAACUCAGCUUGAACCUUUCUAUCGAUCGGCUUUCACCUCUUUCAACAGUUUGGAUGUGACAGAAUUCAGCUCUGGAUCCAUCAUCAAUACUGUAAAUGUAGCAUUCAGCUCCCCCUCGGUCCCUAAUAUCACAGAGAUUGGCACUGUUUUGAUCAAUGCUGCCCCAAACAUCACAGCUUUCAAUAUUGACCCCAACUCAGUGACGGUCAACAGCACAGCUGCUCCUGCAACAAGUACUGUUCCUCCUACAACUUCUGUUACUACCACUGUGGCUGGUACUACCACCACAACAACUGGAGAACCUGUCCCUGUUCGUGCUACCGUUCCUACAACGAGACCCACAACUACAACCACUACAUAUGUGGCCCCCACAACUACAGUGUCAAGGACAGCAUCACCACUGUCAACAACUACCAGCACAGCUCCAACUACCACAACAACCAAUGCACCAACCACUACAACAACACAUACUACUACGACAAGUACAACAACAACCACAACUGCACAUCUUCAACCUGCUCCAGUGGUGUCUUUCGUCAUACAACAAGUGUUUGUCGGAGCUUUAAAUGACCCUCAAAGUACACAAUUCCAAGAACUUGCAGUAACUAUUACUGCAGUGUUCGAUGUGAUCUACAAAGCAAAAUAUGGGAUCCUCUUCAUCCGGACGAUUGUUCUUGGAUUCACACCUAUUUUCCAUUCCCGUAUGGAUGCAGAAACACAGGCAGAGGUCCAACUGGUGUUCAAUGAGACCUCCACUCAAUCUGUCCCUGAGGUUACUGACAUUAGGGAUACACUGAAAGAGGCUGUGACCAAUCCAAACAUUACCUUUGGCAACCUCUCUGUGGAUGUCACCACCAUCAUUGUUCAAGUGCCCACCACAAAUAACAACACAACUACAACGGCUACUCCUGUCAUCACUACUGCUAUCAUCACAACUACAACCACUGAAACUACCGUUGUGGCACUCACUAAGGUGACUGUGGUGUUCCGGUCCAGCGGAGAGACAUUUACCUCUGACCUAUCAAACACAUCUUCUCAGGCCUUUCAAACCCGAGCAUUACUGAUUAAAACUCAGCUUGAUCCUUUCUAUCGAUCAGCUUUCACCUCUUUCAACAGUUUGACUGUGACAGAAUUCAGCUCUGGAUCCAUCAUCAAUACUAUGAAUUUAGCAUUCAGCUCCUCCUCCGUCCCAAAUUCCAUGGAGAUUGGCACUGUUUUAAUAAAUGCCGCCCAAAAAAUCACAGCUUUCAACAUUGACCCCACCUCAGUGAGAGUCAACGACACAGCUGUGACCUCAAGUGGAAUAAGCAGCAAGACCAGUCUCUGCACAGCAUUCUUUCUGGUGGUUCUGUCGCUGCUACUGUCAAGCCAGCAUUAGUCUCAGUGGCAACGCCCACUAAAAACACUAUUUCACUCACUGGCAAGCAACAGAACUAAAUAGUGUGUGUAGUCAUAUUUUCACUUUGAGAACUUCCCACACAUUCCAACCCCUACUCCAAUUCCACCCAUGAUUUGAAUAGUGUCCAAAAAUGAUCAAGUCUUGUAUGCUGACAUAAGAUACACUAUUUGUGGCAGUUGAACACAACGAUGUGAUAUAAUUACUGCCUAUUCAAUCAAAAUGUGUAUGUGUAUGGGGUCCGUCAUAAGUCGAUGUUAUUUCCAUGCAAUGAAAAAUAAUGUUUGAUUUAAUAUGUACUUAAGGUUAUUUUUGAUUCGCUCUGUUGCUGAUAUGAACUAAAACGUUGAUUCACUCUGUUGCUGUUAUGAACUAAAACGUUGAUUCACUCUGUUGCUGUUAUGAACUAAUGAGAGCAAUAUUUUAUUUUCUAUUUUGACUUAACCAGUGAAACCUGGAUAACUGAUUUAAAUAAGGCCCUUUUUGAGCAAAAUGUUCAUCAAUUUAAACUAUUGUCAAUGUAGUUUUCAUUCUGUUUUCUAUUCUUCGUCAUGUAUAACUAUCUAUUAUACCAAUGUCUUACUGCUGUUGAGAUUCAGGCCAUUGUAGUGUUUACUAUUUGUUGACUAAAUGAGUGGUUUGAAUGACAAGGUACAGUACGGCUCCAAAUUGUGAUGUUUAUCUGACUAUCUGGCCUUAAAAAACUGGAACAACAAGACUACACUAGAUCAGCCCAACACUUCCACAUGGUACACAGUGAGAGAGUGUUGUGUCCCACUGGUCUGGACAGCAGCUAGUUUUGUUGGUGCAAUAUUUGCCCUCCCAGAAAUUAUGCUUUGAUUGGUUCUCACAUGCGAGAUAUUCGCAUGCAAAACGCUCCUCGCUUCCUAAUCAAUUCGCCUCGCCCCAACUAGAGACAGACAAACAGGUAGCUAGUUUAAUGAUUCUUUCAAUUUGAAAAGGGGAUACCAGCGUAGCACGUUGAAGUCGCAGCCCCUUCAUUAUCAAUGCAACGUGCCGACAACAUCCAAGAGCCUUCCCAGACUCUGGAGAAGACAGACAUGUAUCUUUCGCCAGACUAACACUAGAUGCAAUUCCACAAAUAUCGCUCAGAUGUAUAAAGUUUGAAGCGUACAAUAUCUCUGAAAAGCUAAACUCAACAAGUGUUAAGACAGGAUACAUUUUGUAUUUUAUUUCCUUAAUUUUUUUCUUUUAUUUCCUCUAUCCAAAACAUAGAAAAUUAACAUAGAAUGCCCACGCUAGUCACACCCUGGCCUAACCAAAAUAGAGAAUAAAAACCUCUCUAUGGCCAGAGCGUGACACAUAUGUAUAUACUGUAUUCUAUUCUAUUAUAUUCUAUACUAUCUUAGUUUAUGUCGCUCUGACACAGCUCAUGCAAAUACUUACAUAUUCUUAAUUCCAUUCCUUUACUUUAGAUUGUGUGUAUUGUUAGAUAUUACUUGUUAGAUAUUACUGCACUGUUGGAGCUAGAAACACAAACAUUUUGCUACAAAACCACAAAAACAUCUGCUAAACACGUGUAUGGGACAAAUAACAUUAGAUUUGAUUUGAAAUACCUCACCCCCUCAUGCCUUAUUGCUUAAUCACGCAUCAUCAUAUAUCUUCAAAACAAAAACAAGUUCUGUAUCCUGUGAGCUCAAUUGUAAAAUGAUUCCAUUCUAGAAUGAAAGAGGGGUAUAAAUAAAUCAAUCAUGGUCAGAAUUUAAAAAAAGUAUUUAAUAAAGUUGUUGUGUCAUUGAA
Long non-coding RNA from Oncorhynchus kisutch (coho salmon), 4553 nucleotides. RefSeq lists it as uncharacterized. The record is from RefSeq and is a predicted model, not a curated record. NCBI's taxonomy places the organism in Eukaryota, Metazoa, Chordata, Actinopteri, Salmoniformes, Salmonidae. The transcript has 10 exons.